RNAcentral lists this transfer RNA (57 nucleotides) under Potamogeton berchtoldii. Its description in RNAcentral is "partial tRNA-His". It matches the Rfam family "tRNA", at positions 1 to 52 of the family's 71-position model. From Rfam's summary of the family: Transfer RNA (tRNA) molecules are approximately 80 nucleotides in length. The record is from RNAcentral. RNAcentral also lists the same sequence under 1 other name. Lineage: Eukaryota; Viridiplantae; Streptophyta; Magnoliopsida; Alismatales; Potamogetonaceae.
GGGCGGAUGUAGCCAAGUGGAUCAAGGCGGUGGAUUGUGAAUCCACCAUGCGCGGGU